GACAAACCGUGCGAACGUUGUUCGGAAUCACUGGGCUUAAAGGGCGCGUAGGCGGUCUGCCAAGUCAGGGGUGAAAUCUUUCGGCUCAACCGGAAAAGUGCUUCUGAUACUGGCGGACUUGAGGGAGGUAGGGGCAUGUGGAACUUCCGGUGGAGCGGUGAAAUGCGUUGAUAUCGGAAGGAACGCCGGUGGCGAAAGCGACGUGCUGGACCUCUUCUGACGCUGAGGCGCGAAAGCUAGGGGAGCGAACGGG
RNAcentral lists this ribosomal RNA (253 nucleotides) under uncultured bacterium. RNAcentral's name for it is "partial 16S ribosomal RNA". It matches the Rfam family "Bacterial small subunit ribosomal RNA", at positions 524 to 776 of the family's 1533-position model. The record is from RNAcentral.